GACGAACGCUGGCGGCGUGCUUAACACAUGCAAGUCGAACGGAAAGGCCCUGCUUUUGUGGGGUGCUCGAGUGGCGAACGGGUGAGUAACACGUGAGUAACCUGCCCUUGACUUUGUGAUAACUUCAGGAAACUGGGGCUAAUACCGGAUAGGAGCUCCUGCUGCAUGGUGGGGGUUGGAAAGUUUCGGCGGUUGGGGAUGGACUCGCGGCUUAUCAGCUUGUUGGUGGGGUAGUGGCUUACCAAGGCUUUGACGGGUAGCCGGCCUGAGAGGGUGACCGGCGACAUUGGGACUGAGAUACGGCACAGAAUCCUACGGGAGGCAGCAGUGGGGAAUAUUGCACAAUGGGCGGAAGCCUGAUGCAGCAACGCCGCGUGCGGGAUGACGGCCUUCGGGUUGUAAACCGCUUUCGCCUGUGACGAAGCGUGAGUGACGGUAAUGGGUAAAGAAGCACCGGCUAACUACGUG
This 468-nucleotide ribosomal RNA is filed under the name uncultured bacterium. RNAcentral describes it as "partial 16S ribosomal RNA". It matches the Rfam family "Bacterial small subunit ribosomal RNA", at positions 28 to 507 of the family's 1533-position model. The record is from RNAcentral.